AAAAAAAAAAAAAAAAAGAAGUCAGCAGCCUCUUGCAUAUACAAGGCUGAAAUGAAAUUUUAUUAUCUCUGUUUCCUGAAGGAGCAAAAUUCAUGAGUAAG
Lontra canadensis (Northern American river otter) is the source of this 101-nucleotide long non-coding RNA. RefSeq lists it as uncharacterized. The transcript is spliced from 3 exons. NCBI's taxonomy places the organism in Eukaryota, Metazoa, Chordata, Mammalia, Carnivora, Mustelidae. The record is from RefSeq and is a predicted model, not a curated record.